This 497-nucleotide ribosomal RNA is filed under the name uncultured bacterium. RNAcentral describes it as "partial 16S ribosomal RNA". It matches the Rfam family "Bacterial small subunit ribosomal RNA", at positions 28 to 507 of the family's 1533-position model. The record is from RNAcentral.
GAUGAACGCUGGCGGCGUGCCUAAUACAUGCAAGUCGAGCGAACAGACGAGGAGCUUGCUCCUCUGACGUUAGCGGCGGACGGGUGAGUAACACGUGGAUAACCUACCUAUAAGACUGGGAUAACUUCGGGAAACCGGAGCUAAUACCGGAUAAUAUAUUGAACCGCAUGGUUCAAUAGUGAAAGACGGCUUUGCUGUCACUUAUAGAUGGAUCCGCGCCGCAUUAGCUAGUUGGUAAGGUAACGGCUUACCAAGGCAACGAUGCGUAGCCGACCUGAGAGGGUGAUCGGCCACACUGGAACUGAGACACGGUCCAGACUCCUACGGGAGGCAGCAGUAGGGAAUCUUCCGCAAUGGGCGAAAGCCUGACGGAGCAACGCCGCGUGAAUGAUGAAGGUCUUCGGAUCGUAAAACUCUGUUAUUAGGGAAGAACAAUUGUGUAAGUAACUAUGCACGUCUUGACGGUACCUAAUCAGAAAGCCACGGCUAACUACGUG